CGGGGUGUGGCGCAGCUUGGUAGCGCGCUUCGUUCGGGACGAAGAGGACGCAGGUUCAAAUCCUGUCACCCCGACCA
Molecule: transfer RNA, 77 nt
Filed under: Mycobacterium sp.
Lineage: Bacteria; Bacillati; Actinomycetota; Actinomycetes; Mycobacteriales; Mycobacteriaceae
Description: tRNA-Pro
Rfam family: tRNA
About the family: Transfer RNA (tRNA) molecules are approximately 80 nucleotides in length.
Source: RNAcentral